Loxodonta africana (African savanna elephant) is the source of this 61-nucleotide non-coding RNA. The record is from Rfam. Lineage: Eukaryota; Metazoa; Chordata; Mammalia; Proboscidea; Elephantidae.
UGAUGCAAAUGGUUAAUGUGCUUGGCUGCUAAUCAAAAGGUUGGAGGUUCAAGCCCUCCCA